Molecule: non-coding RNA, 71 nt
Organism: Ostertagia ostertagi
Lineage: Eukaryota; Metazoa; Nematoda; Chromadorea; Rhabditida; Trichostrongylidae
Source: the annotation of a GenBank genome assembly
UGCCUCAACGUAGAUUCAAACCCGAAACUCUUGCAUACAGGGCAGGAGUGCUACCAUUACACCAUCCGGGA